CGGUUAGCAAGCGAUGAGGCGCGCCCCUCCACCGGCGGGACUGCGCGGAGUCGUCGCGCCUCGGCUGCGAGUCAGGACUGAGGCUGUCCCCCUCCCGCCUCCCUCAGGGGCCCUGGCGCGGGUGCCUCCAGGUUCCACCCCUCACCUGCCCCUUGGUGUCGGGCCGGGACCCUGGAGAGGUCGUGAGGGAGUCCUGGGCGCGGGCUCCGGGAGGCUGCGGCGCGGGUCUGAGGUAAAUGGCCCGCCCGCUGCGGGCCCUUGCGGGGGCUGGUUCCAGCAGCAACCGCCGGGCAGGGCCCCUCCCGACCGCGACCUCCUGUCCGCACCGUAGGGCAGCCGGCCGGGCCAGCCUCCCUCACAGGACUACCGAGGAAGAGAUAGGAUUUCACUCUGUCACCCAGGCGGUACUGCAGUGGCGCGAUCAUAGCGGGGACUACAAGUGUGCACCACAUGCUUGUCUACGAACCUGAAGUAUUCUGAUGCAGUGGAGAGAGUGUAGAUCUCUGGAGUGAAGAGAUCUGCCUGGAACCCUGACUCUAUCACUAGGUAUGAAUUUCCUUAUGGCUGCCCCAGGACUGGAUACUGGAUGCCAUUCAACAAAUACUGGAGAUUCCUUGGAAUGAAACCAAUGGGAGUCCAGGGUUUGGGAGAGUCUCAUCAGAGCAGAUGGGCCAGCAGCAGCCAGAAUGCUUGUUGCCUUUGGCUGAGAACGCUAUCCUGGAUCUGAAUGUCUUAUCAGGACCUGAAGUAGGUGGCUGCCCAUCCAGGUAUUCUACAGGCACUUGCCCAUGAAACCUUCACCACUCCUUGAAUCUGGUUCUGCAAAGUGGGACAGCUGAGACUUAGGCUAAGUGACUUACUGAGGCAGCAGUCAGCACCGUGUGGGACCAGCCCCCAUGCUGUUUCCCAAAUGGAGGCACCUUCCUGCAUACCUUGGGCGUGAUCUGUAACAGCUCAGAAAGCUUGGACACCAGCAGGGUGGCACCUGUAUGGGGAGCACCUGUCCGCACUGUCUGCAUUCAAUAAGCGUUCAUUUCAUCACCCUUCACCAUGCUUUGUCACUCCAAGAGAUGGCCCUGGGACUGAGAAGUAGAUGGCAGCUGUGACAGCAGG
Molecule: long non-coding RNA, 1113 nt
Organism: Gorilla gorilla gorilla (western lowland gorilla)
Lineage: Eukaryota; Metazoa; Chordata; Mammalia; Primates; Hominidae
Exons: 6
Source: RefSeq, a predicted model, not a curated record